UGGGGAAUUUUGGACAAUGGGGGAAACCCUGAUCCAGCCAUCCCGCGUGUGCGAUGAAGGCCUUCGGGUUGUAAAGCACUUUUGGCAGGAAAGAAACGUCGCGGGUUAAUACCCCGCGAAACUGACGGUACCUGCAGAAUAAGCACCGGCUAACUACGUGCCAGCAGCCGCGGUAAUACGUAGGGUGCAAGCGUUAAUCGGAAUUACUGGGCGUAAAGCGUGCGCAGGCGGUUCGGAAAGAAAGAUGUGAAAUCCCAGAGCUUAACUUUGGAACUGCAUUUUUAACUACCGGGCUAGAGUGUGUCAGAGGGAGGUGGAAUUCCGCGUGUAGCAGUGAAAUGCGUAGAUAUGCGGAGGAACACCGAUGGCGAAGGCAGCCUCCUGGGAUAACACUGACGCUCAUGCACGAAAGCGUGGGGAGCAAACAGGAUUAGAUACCCUGGUAGUCCACGCCCUAAACGAUGUCAACUAGCUAGUUGGGGGCC
RNAcentral lists this ribosomal RNA (485 nucleotides) under uncultured bacterium. Its description in RNAcentral is "partial 16S ribosomal RNA". It matches the Rfam family "Bacterial small subunit ribosomal RNA", at positions 355 to 832 of the family's 1533-position model. The record is from RNAcentral.